RNAcentral lists this ribosomal RNA (427 nucleotides) under uncultured bacterium. RNAcentral's name for it is "partial 16S ribosomal RNA". It matches the Rfam family "Bacterial small subunit ribosomal RNA", at positions 355 to 774 of the family's 1533-position model. The record is from RNAcentral.
UGGGGAAUAUUGCACAAUGGGCGCAAGCCUGAUGCAGCCAUGCCGCGUGUAUGAAGAAGGCCUUCGAGUUGUAAAGUACUUUCAGCGGGGAGGAAGGCGAUAAGGUUAAUAACCUUGUCGAUUGACGUUACCCGCAGAAGAAGCACCGGCUAACUCCGUGCCAGCAGCCGCGGUAAUACGGAGGGUGCAAGCGUUAAUCGGAAUUACUGGGCGUAAAGCGCACGCAGGCGGUCUGUCAAGUCGGAUGUGAAAUCCCCGGGCUCAACCUGGGAACUGCAUUCGAAACUGGCAGGCUAGAGUCUUGUAGAGGGGGGUAGAAUUCCAGGUGUAGCGGUGAAAUGCGUAGAGAUCUGGAGGAAUACCGGUGGCGAAGGCGGCCCCCUGGACAAAGACUGACGCUCAGGUGCGAAAGCGUGGGGAGCAAACA